This 320-nucleotide ribosomal RNA is filed under the name uncultured eukaryote. Its description in RNAcentral is "partial 18S ribosomal RNA". It matches the Rfam family "Eukaryotic small subunit ribosomal RNA", at positions 1470 to 1796 of the family's 1831-position model. The record is from RNAcentral.
CCCUUAGAUGUUCUGGGCCGCACGCGCGCUACACUGAUGCACUCAACGAGUCUCCACCUUGACCGAAAGGUCCGGGAAACCUUCGAACUUGCAUCGUGAUGGGGAUAGAUUAUUGCAACUAUUAAUCUUCAACGAGGAAUACCUAGUAAGCGCAUGUCAUCAGCUUGCAUUGAUUACGUCCCUGCCCUUUGUACACACCGCCCGUCGCACCUACCGAUUGAAUGGUCCGGUGAAAUCUCGGGACGGCGGCUUGGUCGCUUGCGUCCGACUGCUGAAACUUGAUUAAACCAUAUCAUUUAGAGGAAGGUGAAGUCGUAACA